GCAACGGAUAUCUAGGCUCUCGCAUCGAUGAAGAACGUAGCGAAAUGCGAUACUUGGUGUGAAUUGCAGAAUCCCGYGAACCAUCGAGUUUUUGAA
RNAcentral lists this ribosomal RNA (96 nucleotides) under Scleromitrion diffusum. RNAcentral describes it as "Oldenlandia diffusa 5.8S ribosomal RNA". It matches the Rfam family "5.8S ribosomal RNA", at positions 9 to 104 of the family's 154-position model. Rfam says of the family: 5.8S ribosomal RNA (5.8S rRNA) is a component of the large subunit of the eukaryotic ribosome. It is transcribed by RNA polymerase I as part of the 45S precursor that also contains 18S and 28S rRNA. The record is from RNAcentral. Lineage: Eukaryota; Viridiplantae; Streptophyta; Magnoliopsida; Gentianales; Rubiaceae.